AGGGCCGCACAGAAUAGCCCUAUCUCCAUCUUAUCUCCCAAUUCCCAGGCUCGGUGCGCCAGGCGCGCUCCUCCGGCAUGGCGUCCAUCACCCUCCUCUCCCUCGCUCCCACCGCUACCUUCCUCCACCUCCCCGCUUGCACCGCCUCCUCCUCCCCCUUCGCCGCCAUUUCCCGUCCCCUCCUCACCGUUCGCCGGGCACCCCCCCUCCGCGCGCGCGCUCCUCGCCGCGUCACCGUUGUGUGCAGCGCUGCGGCGGCGGCCUCGGAGGCAGAGCCCGUGGAGAAGUUCCGGCUCGACAACCUUAGUCCUCAGAAGGGGUCGCGGCAGCGGCCGAAGCGGAAGGGGCGUGGUAUCUCGGCGGGGCAGGGCGCGAGCUGCGGGUUCGGCAUGCGCGGGCAGAAGUCGCGCUCAGGACCCGGCGUCCGGCGAGGAUUCGAGGGCGGGCAAAUGCCUCUCUACCGCCGUCUACCUAAGCUCCGCGGAAUUGCUGGCGGAAUGCAUAUCGGGUUGCCAAAAUACGUGCCGUUCAAUUUACGAGACAUAGCACAGGGUGGGUUCAAGGAUGGUGAGGAGAUUUCAUUGGAGUCCCUGAAAUCAAAGGGUUUGAUCAAUCCAUCUGGCCGAGAAAGAAAGCUUCCACUCAAGAUUUUAGGAGAUGGUGAUGUAUCAGUGAAGUUGAACAUCAAGGCUGGGGCAUUCUCUUCCUCGGCCAAGGAGAAACUCGAGGCAGCUGGCUGUACUUUAACUCUGCUGCCCAAGCGGAAGAAAUGGCUACCAGCAUCUUAUGUGAAGAACCAAGCUCGUGCUGAAGAGUACUUUAGCAAGAAAAAUGGCGGCACCGGAGAACCUGAUGAAGCCUCCACGUAGAGUUCAUAUACACUGCAACACACUGUGAUGAACCAAAGGGAUCUAGAAGAAAAUAGGGGAAUCACAGAAUCCAUUUACGUGAUGUCUGCACCGUCUUUCGUGAUUUCUGGACAGUGGACAGCAUGCAUAUAUGGUGCACUGUUCUCCACUGAAAAGAAUCUGCAAUUAUUAUACAGGGGUGCAACUCAUUCUAUACAGGCAUAACAUUGAUUUUUGAACACAACAUUUCAACAAAGCUCAUCCUAAGGUUGCGUGUUUGAAGAAGUUAGAUUAGGACAGACAUGGUAUAUAUAGGUUGAUUGACUGCUUGUUAAACAGGGAUGUGUAGUUAAAUACAGGCAUGUUCUAUAUGAUAAAUCUUUGUAUGACCUAUGGAAUAAUGGAGUAAACGCUGACUUAGUGGCUUUGCCACAA
Brachypodium distachyon (stiff brome) is the source of this 1283-nucleotide RNA transcript. It is a transcript of the gene named 50S ribosomal protein L15, chloroplastic, with no coding region annotated. The record is from RefSeq and is a predicted model, not a curated record. NCBI's taxonomy places the organism in Eukaryota, Viridiplantae, Streptophyta, Magnoliopsida, Poales, Poaceae. The transcript has 5 exons.